Molecule: ribosomal RNA, 277 nt
Filed under: uncultured prokaryote
Description: partial 16S ribosomal RNA
Rfam family: Bacterial small subunit ribosomal RNA
Source: RNAcentral
UACGUAGGGGGCAAGCGUUGUCCGGAAUGAUUGGGCGUAAAGGGCGCGUAGGCGGCUCUGUAAGUCUGAAGUGAAAGUCCUCUUUUCAAGGGAGGAAUUGCUUUGGAAACUAUAGAGCUUGAGUGCAGGAGAGGUUAUCGGAAUUCCCGGUGUAGCGGUGAAAUGCGUAGAUAUCGGGAGGAACAUCGGUGGCGAAGGCGGGUAACUGGACUGCAACUGACGCUGAGGCGCGAAAGUGUGGGGAGCAAACAGGAUUAGAUACCCCGGUAGUCCCUGA